GGUAGGGUAGGGGUGGCAAUUCAGCUCGCUGUCCGUCAGCUAGCUCGUGUUCGGCUCGAAAUAGAUUCGAGAUCGAAUCGUUGUUUAGUAAACGAGCUGAGUAUUUCAACUUAUCGUGAGCUAACUCGUGUUCGGCUCGAAAUGGGCUCGAGAUCGAAUCCUUGUUUAGUAAACAAGUUGAAUUUUUUCAACUUGUUUAAUAAAUGACCUCGGCUCAUGUUCGGCUCGACAGCAGCUUGAAUACAUAUAUUCUAUAUUUAUAGAUGUAAAUAAAUAAUUAUAUAUACAUAUAAUAUAGAUUUUUAUUAUUUGAUUUUUAAUCCAACCUAUAAGUAUAAAGCCAACUCAAUUAUAAAAAUACCAAUUUAUAUGUAAAAUUUCAACCAUUAGAUCAAAAUCUAAUGGCUAAGAUCCUAUAAAUUUAUUUUCUCUAUAUAUUCUUUUAAAUCCUUUUAACUUGUUGUUGUGAGCCAGCUCAUAUUCAGCUCGUUUAUUAACGAGUCGAACACAAGCUGAAUUUUUCGGUUCAAUAUUUUAGUGAGUCAGUCCGUGUUCGGCACGAGCAAGCUCCACCAU
This 576-nucleotide long non-coding RNA is filed under the name Ananas comosus (pineapple). RNAcentral describes it as "long non-coding RNA (ACOM_LNC020329)". The record is from RNAcentral. Lineage: Eukaryota; Viridiplantae; Streptophyta; Magnoliopsida; Poales; Bromeliaceae.